RNAcentral lists this ribosomal RNA (742 nucleotides) under uncultured Alphaproteobacteria bacterium. Its description in RNAcentral is "bacterial SSU rRNA". It matches the Rfam family "Bacterial small subunit ribosomal RNA", at positions 32 to 825 of the family's 1533-position model. Lineage: Bacteria; Pseudomonadati; Pseudomonadota; Alphaproteobacteria. The record is from RNAcentral.
AGUCCUGGCGGCACGCUACACACGCAGUCUAACGAGUAGCAUACUUAUGGCAGACGGGUGAGUAACAUGUGGGUAUCUGCCCUUUGGCCUGGAAUAACACGAGGAAACUUGUGCUAAUACCGGAUAAGUCUUUACGGAGAAAGCUUUAUGCACCAUUGGAUGAGCCUGCACUUGAUUAGUUUGUUGGUGGGUAAUGGCCUACCAAGACUGUGAUCAAUAGCUGAUUUGAGAGGAUGAUCAGCAACAUUGGGGCUGAGACACGGCCCAAACUCCUACGGGAGGCAGCAGUGGGGAAUCUUGCACAAUGGAGGAAACCCUGACGCAGCCACGCCGCGUGAGUGAUGAAGGCCUUCGGGUUGUAAAGCUCUUUCGUCGGGGAAGAAAAUGACUGUACCCGAAUAAGAAGGUCCGGCUAACUUCGUGCCAGCAGCCGCGGUAAUACGAAGGGACCUAGCGUAGUUCGGAAUUACUGGGCUUAAAGAGUUCGUAGGUGGUUGAAAAAGUUAGUGGUGAAAUCCAGAACUUAACUCUGGAACUUGGCCCAUUAAAACUUUUCAGCUAAGAGUAUGAUAGACGGCAAGCAGAAUUCCUAGUGGAGAGGUGACAUUCGUAGAUAUUAGAAAGAAUACCAAUUGGGAAGGGCAGGUUUCCUGGAUCAUUACUGGACCUGAGGGACCGAAGCCUUGGUUCCGAGAGGAUAAAUCCCUGCUGCCAUGCCGAACGAGGUGUAAACUGGCAAUAU